AGUCACAUCACGUUGAAUCACCGGUUCCUGUAGGAUCACUGAAGUUAAGCAACGUCGAGCCUGGUUAAUACCGAGAUGGAUGACCGCUCGGAAAUACCAGGUGAUGUAAG
Molecule: non-coding RNA, 110 nt
Organism: Acanthosepion pharaonis
Lineage: Eukaryota; Metazoa; Mollusca; Cephalopoda; Sepiida; Sepiidae
Source: the annotation of a GenBank genome assembly